RNAcentral lists this ribosomal RNA (452 nucleotides) under uncultured bacterium. Its description in RNAcentral is "bacterial SSU rRNA". It matches the Rfam family "Bacterial small subunit ribosomal RNA", at positions 340 to 786 of the family's 1533-position model. The record is from RNAcentral.
UACGGAAGGCAGCAGUGGGGAAUAUUGCACAAUGGGCGCAAGCCUGAUGCAGCCAUGCCGCGUGUAUGAAGAAGGCCUUCGGGUUGUAAAGUACUUUCAGUCGUGAGGAAGGUGUUAAGGUUAAUAACCUUAGCAAUUGACGUUAGCGACAGAAGAAGCACCGGCUAACUCCGUGCCAGCAGCCGCGGUAAUACGGAGGGUGCGAGCGUUAAUCGGAAUUACUGGGCGUAAAGGGCACGCAGGCGGUUAAUUAAGUUGGAUGUGAAAUCCCCGGGCUUAACCUGGGAAUGGCAUUCAAGACUGGCUAGCUAGAGUCUUGUAGAGGGGGUAGAAUUCCAUGUGUAGCGGUGAAAUGCGUAGAGAUGUGGAGGAAUACCGGUGGCGAAGGCGGCCCUGGGACAAAGACUGACGCUCAUGUGCGAAAGCGUGGGGAGCAAACAGGAUUAGAUACC